GGAAAAGAAACCAACAGGGAUUACCUCAGUAACGGCGAGUGAAGCGGUAAAAGCUCAAAUUUGAAAUCUGGCUCUUUUAGAGUCCGAGUUGUAAUUUGUAGAAGAUGCUUCGGGUGUGGUUCCGGUCUAAGUUCCUUGGAACAGGACGUCAUAGAGGGUGAGAAUCCCGUAUGUGACUGGAUACCUAUGCUCAUGUGAAGCUCUUUCGACGAGUCGAGUUGUUUGGGAAUGCAGCUCAAAAUGGGUGGUAUAUUUCAUCUAAAGCUAAAUAUUGGCCAGAGACCGAUAGCGCACAAGUAGAGUGAUCGAAAGAUGAAAAGCACUUUGGAAAGAGAGUUAAACAGUACGUGAAAUUGUUGAAAGGGAAGCGCUUGCAAUCAGACUUGCACUUGGUGUUCAUCGGGGUUUCUACCCCGUGUACUUCAUCAAGUUCAGGCCAGCAUCAGUUUGGGUGGUUAGAUAAAGGCUUAGAGAAUGUGGCCCUCUUCGGGGGGUGUUAUAGCUCUAGGUGCAAUGUAGCCUACCUGGACUGAGGACCGCGCUUCGGCUAGGAUGCUGGCGUAAUGGUUGUAAGCGACCCGUCUUGAAACACGGACCAAGGAGUGUACCUAAUAUGCGAGUGUUUGGGUGUUAAACCCAUACGCGUAAUGAAAGUGAACGGAGGUGAGAGCCCUUAAGGGUGCAUCAUCGACCGAUCCUGAUGUCUUCGGAUGGAUUUGAGUAAGAGCAUAUUGGGUGCGACCCGAAAGAUGGUGAUCUAUACGUGAAUAGGGUGAAGCCAGAGGAAACUCUGGUGGAGGCUCGCAGCGGUUCUGACGUGCAAAUCGAUCGUCAAAUUUGCGUAUAGGG
Molecule: ribosomal RNA, 849 nt
Filed under: Monilinia fructicola
Lineage: Eukaryota; Fungi; Ascomycota; Leotiomycetes; Helotiales; Sclerotiniaceae
Description: LSU rRNA
Rfam family: Eukaryotic large subunit ribosomal RNA
Source: RNAcentral